RNAcentral lists this ribosomal RNA (460 nucleotides) under uncultured bacterium. Its description in RNAcentral is "partial 16S ribosomal RNA". It matches the Rfam family "Bacterial small subunit ribosomal RNA", at positions 338 to 795 of the family's 1533-position model. The record is from RNAcentral.
CCUACGGGUGGCAGCAGUGAGGAAUAUUGGUCAAUGGACGAGAGUCUGAACCAGCCAAGUAGCGUGAAGGAUGACUGCCCUAUGGGUUGUAAACUUCUUUUAUAUGGGAAUAAAACGUUCCACGUGUGGGAUUUUGUAUGUACCAUAUGAAUAAGGAUCGGCUAACUCCGUGCCAGCAGCCGCGGUAAUACGGAGGAUCCGAGCGUUAUCCGGAUUUAUUGGGUUUAAAGGGAGCGUAGGUGGAUUGUUAAGUCAGUUGUGAAAGUUUGCGGCUCAACCGUAAAAUUGCAGUUGAAACUGGCAGUCUUGAGUACAGUAGAGGUGGGCGGAAUUCGUGGUGUAGCGGUGAAAUGCUUAGAUAUUACACAGAACACCGAUUGCGAAGGCAGCUUGCUAGGCCGGAUCUGACACUGAUGCACGAAAGCGUGGGGAUCGAACAGGAUUAGAUACCCUUGUAGUC